This 1185-nucleotide long non-coding RNA is filed under the name Saimiri boliviensis boliviensis (Bolivian squirrel monkey). RNAcentral describes it as "lncRNA (ENSSBOG00000036591.1)". Lineage: Eukaryota; Metazoa; Chordata; Mammalia; Primates; Cebidae. The record is from RNAcentral.
AGUUGCAGAGACACUGUGCAUUUAUGGCUGUUGUUGCAGAAUGUAGAAGUGUGAGAUCUGUUAAAAGGGAGCCAGCAAGGAGUGGACUUCUCCAUAGAUAUAUAAAUAUAGAAUAAAUUAUUCUCAGCAGCUUAUUUGGAGUCCAAAGCAUACAUGUAAAGAAUCAAAAGGUUAUUACUAAAAUAGGAUACAAGGAGCUUUUUAGAGAGCGUUUAUAGGAAAUUGAACAUGUUCACGCAUUGCUAUCUUUUAUUAGCCGUAUCAGCACUCUUCUUUAAUUUAUCUUUCAAGGAAAUGUAAUUAUUUGGCCUAUAUCUUAUAGUAUCUAAACAGUUUGAAGCUAAUGUCAGUCUCUUUAAAUGCAGUGAAACACCUUCAACCUGGAGGAAUACAGCUUCUCUCAAGCUACUUUGGAGCAGGUGCGUUCUUUGAACAAGAGAGCAUCAUCCAGAUAACCUCUGUAUGAAACCAUCUUUCAGCAACACCUUGACAUUUUUGUAUCUUUUUUAUUUUCUCUUACUUAGGUAUUCUUAGAACUCUGUAAAGAGCAGGAGCUGGGAAAUAUUGAUGACAAAAUUGAUGCAGCAGUUCGACGGAAACUUCUCCCAUAGGAAGACCCUUAAAAUGAAGAACCUCCUAACAUUCCAUUUUAGGUCGUACUACAUUGUUAGCUUCCAUAAUUCUACAAGAAUGCUUCCUUUUACUUCAGUUAACAAAAGAAAACAUUCAAUAGUCCCAGGGGGAGUCACACAGAAAGAAAAAUGUCUUACCAAGAACCUUGGCUACUCAGCCAAAACCAUCUCCAGGCUGUGGUAGUAAUUGAAGUGAAGAGGACCUUUGUUUCUGAGGAAUCCUGUAUCUCUUACAGAGGGAAAUGAAAGAGAAGAAAAAAAAGAGGUUAGCUUGUCAGAAAAAACAAAAGGAAAAAGAAGAAACGAAAAGUAUCACUGACCUAAUCAAUUGCCAACAGAGUCCAACCACCAUGCUGAUGAAUCUAGACUUCUUUGAGUCACAAAUGGGAAAAAAGCUAUUGGCCAGAUGAGAAAAAUAGACUACAGAAUAAUUGAAUCCAAGUGCAAUAAUCAGCAAAGUUCUCCAAAGAAACACACAUAAUUAUUAAAAAAGGAGAAGAUCUUAAAAAUACUACUACUUAGAAUUUUGUAUGAGUCACAUUUGGAAGAGGUA